Molecule: small RNA, 26 nt
Filed under: Bombyx mori (domestic silkworm)
Lineage: Eukaryota; Metazoa; Arthropoda; Insecta; Lepidoptera; Bombycidae
Description: ovarian small RNA-27007
Source: RNAcentral
UCCAUGAUGUCUGACCCAGGUGCUGU